UGAAUUCAGUCUUAUACUCGUGUCUGUCUGAAGGAGCACUUGAGCAGCACUGCUGCUCGUAGACUCAGCCUGGGUUUGGUUGUGGUUUCUCGGGAGCAAGAUGCAUAGUGUUGUGGCGCAGUAGCGCGUGUGGUGAAUGUGGAAUCGUUUUCUGCGUGAUAGCGCUGUGUAGGUAUUCGCCGUUGCCACGAUUGCGUGAGCCCUCUGUGCGGGCGGUGGAACCUUUGUAUGUAGGUGUUGUGGUACUGGCUUUAAGAGGACCGUCUUGAGACGAUGCCAUGAGUGCGAGCCUUCGAGUGUAAUCAGCUGACCACAUCGGUUCUGUGCAGUAUGUCGGAGACGGCGGCUAGUGCGCGUGCGUGCAUAGUUGGUCGGCGUGUCCGGGUUUGGUUGUUACGUGCCUGUUUAUUCAGGCCUGAUGAUGGCUCGGAUUCGUUCGGCUGGCUGUUGCGUGCGUGCACAAUACGGGGCCAAUAGUCUGUGGUGUAGUGGUAACUAUCCACCCCGACCCGUCUUGAAACACGGACCCAAG
This 532-nucleotide ribosomal RNA is filed under the name Oswaldocruzia filiformis. RNAcentral's name for it is "eukaryotic LSU rRNA". Lineage: Eukaryota; Metazoa; Nematoda; Chromadorea; Rhabditida; Molineidae. The record is from RNAcentral.